AGCCGAAGCGAAAGCGAGUCUGAAUAGGGCGUCAAGUUGGUGGUGGUAGACGCGAAACCUUAGUGAUCUACCCAUGGGCAGGGUGAAGGUUUGGUAACACAAACUGGAGGCCCGAACCGGUAAACGUUGAAAAGUUUUCGGAUGACCUGUGGGUAGGGGUGAAAGGCCAAUCAAACUGGGAAAUAGCUCGUACUCUCCGAAAUGCAUUUAGGUGCAGCCUCUGUUGUUUUGUUCUAGAGGUAGAGCUACUGAUUGGAUGCGAGGGCUUCACCGCCUAUCAAAUCCGGCCAAACUCCGAAUGCUAGAACAUGAAGACAGGGAGUGAGCCAGCGGGUGCUAAGGUCCGUUGACGAAAGAGGGAGAACUCAGACCAUCAGCUAAGGUCCCCAAUUAUAUGCUAAGUUGGAAUUAAAACGGGGUGGGACUGCUUAGACAGCUAGGAUGUUGGCUUGGAAGCAGCCAUUCAUUUAAAGAGUGCGUAACAGCUCACUAGUCGAGCGGUCCUGCAUGGAUAAUACGCGGGCAUAAGCAUAUAACCGAAGCUAUGGGAUUGUAGAUGAUACAAUCGGUAGGAGAGCAUUCCAUUCAGCAUAGAAGCAGUAUCGUGAGGUAUUGUGGAGCGGAUGGAAAAGCAAAUGUAGGCAUAAGUAACGAUAAUGCGGGUGAGAACCCCGCACGCCGAAAGAUCAAGGAUUCCCCGGCAAUGUCAAUCAUCCGGGGGUAAGUCGGAUCCUAAGGGUAAGCCGAGUGGCGAUCCCGAUGGCAAACAGGUUAAUAUUCCUGUACUGAUCAUAACUGCGAUGCAGCGACGCAGAGGUGACACUGCUGCGUACUGACGGAAUAGUACGUUGAAACCCGUAUUCUUUGAUACCGGUAGUGAAGCACGCCGGUAGAGAUGAAAGGUGAUAGUACCGCAAUGCUUCGGUUGCGCGGAUAAUGCAGGUAAGCUGACUGCCAAGAAAACCUGCUAAGCUUCAGGUAAUGAUCAUCCGUACUGUAAACGGACACACGUGAUCAGGUAGAAAAUACUAAGGCGCUCGAGAGAUUCAUGGUUAAGGAACUAGGCAAAAUGGUCCUGUAACUUCGGGAUAAAGGACGCUCUUGUGAAAGAGCCGCAGAUAAUAGGCCCAGGCGACUGUUUACCAAAAACACAUGGCUAUGCUAAUUCGCAAGAAGAUGUAUAUGGCCUGACACCUGCCCGGUGCCGGAAGGUUAAGAGGAGAGCUCAGAGGUAACUCGAAGGUUUGAAUUGAAGCCCCGGUAAACGGCGGCCGUAACUAUAACGGUCCUAAGGUAGCGAAAUUCCUUGUCGGGUAAGUUCCGACC
This 1326-nucleotide ribosomal RNA is filed under the name gut metagenome. Its description in RNAcentral is "bacterial LSU rRNA". It matches the Rfam family "Bacterial large subunit ribosomal RNA", at positions 664 to 1988 of the family's 2925-position model. The record is from RNAcentral.